AUUGAACGCUGGCGGCAGGCCUAACACAUGCAAGUCGAUCGGUAACAGGAAGAAGCUUGCUUCUUUGCUGACGAGUGGCGGACGGGUGAGUAAUGUCUGGGAAACUGCCUGAUGGAGGGGGAUAACUACUGGAAACGGUAGCUAAUACCGCAUAACGUCGCAAGACCAAAGAGGGGGACCUUCGGGCCUCUUGCCAUCGGAUGUGCCCAGAUGGGAUUAGCUAGUAGGUGGGGUAACGGCUCACCUAGGCGACGAUCCCUAGCUGGUCUGAGAGGAUGACCAGCCACACUGGAACUGAGACACGGUCCAGACUCCUACGGGAGGCAGCAGUGGGGAAUAUUGCACAAUGGGCGCAAGCCUGAUGCAGCCAUGCCGCGUGUAUGAAGAAGGCCUUCGGGUUGUAAAGUACUUUCAGCGGGGAGGAAGGGAGUAAAGUUAAUACCUUUGCUCAUUGACGUUACCCGCAGAAGAAGCACCGGCUAACUCCGUG
This 490-nucleotide ribosomal RNA is filed under the name uncultured bacterium. RNAcentral's name for it is "partial 16S ribosomal RNA". It matches the Rfam family "Bacterial small subunit ribosomal RNA", at positions 30 to 507 of the family's 1533-position model. The record is from RNAcentral.